AUGGUGUCGCCUGCGACUGGUUCGACCCCUCGGGGUCGUGCCAACAGGGAACCCGGUGUGAAUCCGGGACUGCCCCGCAGCGGUGAGCGGGAACGACCGCUGUCAUCAAGCACUGGGCCGGACGGCCUGGGAAGCGACAGCCAGUAGGUGACCGGCGAUUCGCCGGUCGGGCCCGCAAGUCCGAAGACCUGCCAGUCGCCCCGCGGACAC
Molecule: non-coding RNA, 210 nt
Filed under: Acidothermus cellulolyticus
Lineage: Bacteria; Bacillati; Actinomycetota; Actinomycetes; Acidothermales; Acidothermaceae
Also listed under: 1 other name
Source: RNAcentral